GCAUCCGUAGCUCAGCUGGAUAGAGUUCUCGGCUACGAACCGAGCGGUCGGAGGUUCGAAUCCUCCCGGAUGCACCA
This 77-nucleotide transfer RNA is filed under the name Escherichia coli. RNAcentral's name for it is "tRNA-Arg". It matches the Rfam family "tRNA". Rfam says of the family: Transfer RNA (tRNA) molecules are approximately 80 nucleotides in length. Their secondary structure includes four short double-helical elements and three loops (D, anti-codon, and T loops). The record is from RNAcentral. Lineage: Bacteria; Pseudomonadati; Pseudomonadota; Gammaproteobacteria; Enterobacterales; Enterobacteriaceae. RNAcentral also lists the same sequence under 9 other names.